UGCCGAGACAGGGGGGUCUGAUAGAAUAUUCCAGCCAGACCCCCCCACCUGGUCUCCUCUCCAUCCCUGGCCAGAUGCUAGGAUGCCUAGUGACUAUGAUAGCAUCCUAUCCUGUACCACAGACGCAUUCCUCUGCAACAUUCACUGUACAGACUGCAGAAUUCCCAGGACAUACCUGCACCUCUGGACACUAGCUUCUGGCUGACAACUGGAUGGCAGUCUCGUUUACCAGAUGAGUGCAACCACUAGAAGCAUCUAUGCCCAUCACUGGGUUUGGAGGAUAUACACCAUGUUGUUUAAUUUUUGGCCCAUCGCCUGAGUUUUGGAACCAUGAUACUGAACACCCAGAUGUAAAGAGGACACUCCGUUGCCGAGCAACUACUAGAGGACAACAGUGUUAAGAUUGUCCGACACCUACGUAUGUUAUGUAUAUGACGUCACACCUUAGUUAGCCCCAUUCAGUGAUGAGGACAAGUGGGACUCAGAAUAAACCUUAGAAGUGCCAAGGACCGGUCGUACACUGAAGGAACGCAAACCACUUCAAAGUUACGCUACUUACCAGUCGCGCACAAGCAUCUACUGGUGGCCGGGGUCACGGAAGACUAUGACAGAUUUUGGUGUUCAACCCGUUGUACUGCAGAAAAAUACGCAGAGUCGGGAGACUGGUGAAGGCCACUAAAUACGUCAUAACCCUAUCCUAGAACUUACACACUUAUGGUUUUGACUAGUGAAAAGUGUGAUCAUCAAACCUGGACCCCUAACACUACAGGGAAUUACUGUAGGUCUGUAAAUGAAGGAAGAACUCCCCUAAAAAAAAAAAACUUUCAGGGUUGUCGUAAUAUUUUGCGGUUAUUACAAGAAUAUACAAUACCUUAUUGAGCUACAC
Pseudophryne corroboree (corroboree frog) is the source of this 886-nucleotide long non-coding RNA. RefSeq lists it as uncharacterized. Lineage: Eukaryota; Metazoa; Chordata; Amphibia; Anura; Myobatrachidae. The record is from RefSeq and is a predicted model, not a curated record. The transcript has 3 exons.